AUGAGGAAGAGAUCAACACCAGCCGCGGCAACAAAGAUGACAACGUGUCUCAGUGGGCAUGAGCAAUGGCACACUCGUGUCGAGUACCUACCGAGAUGCUUCCCUGGUCAGACUUCGAGCACAUCCUCCUUGCCGACGCCGCCUUGGCUAUUGUUGUUGUCUCCUCGGAUAAGCUGUAUUAGGUUGGUUCCAUUGCACUGCAAAUACUACCACUUCUAUUGGGCAACUAAAUACAACUUGCAAGCACGGGAAAACAUGUACACCAAUGUUGUCGGGCGCGCGGAAGCCAAUUCCUUGGGUCACCCAUUGUUCAUCUGCUGCUCUAACCAAUAUUGUUUUGCUGUGGAGAAAUUUUAUGAUGUGCCCAAUUAUGGACCGUACAUUGAUAAUGAUCUAAUGGUUAGGAUGAUGCAUCAUUUGAUAAUUCAAGAAAAGACAUGGAGUAGUAAUUGCUGGGACCAGAUCCAUGCACCAUCAUCUGAAACCCAUGUAUUCAUGAGGUGUGAUGUUAAUUUUAACAAAUCUUCCCAUGGACAGAACCUCGAUACCAUGAUUCACAUACCAACCCACAUAGAAUUUGUGUAG
Molecule: ribosomal RNA, 585 nt
Filed under: Triticum aestivum (bread wheat)
Lineage: Eukaryota; Viridiplantae; Streptophyta; Magnoliopsida; Poales; Poaceae
Description: partial small subunit ribosomal RNA
Source: RNAcentral